This 868-nucleotide ribosomal RNA is filed under the name Bergeyella zoohelcum. Its description in RNAcentral is "bacterial SSU rRNA". It matches the Rfam family "Bacterial small subunit ribosomal RNA", at positions 29 to 862 of the family's 1533-position model. The record is from RNAcentral. Lineage: Bacteria; Pseudomonadati; Bacteroidota; Flavobacteriia; Flavobacteriales; Weeksellaceae.
UUGAGACGCUAGCGGGAUGCCUAACACAUUGCAAGCCCGAGCGGGGAUUUUGUUGGGUUAGCUUGCUAACUAACAAUGAGAGCGGCGUACGGGUGCGUAACACGUGUGCAACCUGCCUUUAUCUGGGGGAUAGCCUUUCGAAAGGAAGAUUAAUACCCCAUAAUAUAUUGAUUGGCAUCAGUUAAUAUUGAAAGCUGAGGCGGAUAUGAGAUGGGCACGCCGUAAGAUUAGCUAGUUGGUGAGGUAACGGCUCACCAAGGCUUGCGAUCUUUAGGGGCCUGAAAGGGUGAUCCCCCACACUUGGUACUUGAGACACCGGACCAAGACUCCUACGGGAGGCAGCAGUGAGGAAUAUUGGGACAAUGGGGUGAGACCUGAUCCAGCCUCCCGCGUGAAGGACUAAGGACCUAUGGUUUGUAAACUUCUUUUAUACAGGGAUAAACCUACUCUCGUGAGGGUAGCUGAAGGUACUGUAUGAAUAAGCACCGGCUAACUCCGUGCCAGCAGCCGCGGUAAUACGGAAGGUGCAGAGCGUUAUUCCGGAUUUAUUCGGGUUUAAAGGGUCCGUAAGGCGGGUCGAUAAGUCAGUCGGUGAAAGCCUGCAGCUUAACUUGUAGAACUGCCCUUGAUACUUGUCAGGUCUUGAGUGUAUUUCGAGGUAGCUUGGAAUGACUACUGUAGCGGUGAAAUGCAUAGAUAUUACUCAGAACACCAAUUGCGAAGGCAGGUUACCAAGUUACAACUGACGCUUGAUGGACAAAAGCGUGGGGAGCCGAACAGGAUUAGAUACCCUGGUAGUCCACGCUUGGGAACCAUGCUAACUCCGGUUUUGGGGUAUUAUACUUCAGAGACCAAGGCGAAAGUGAUU